RNAcentral lists this ribosomal RNA (464 nucleotides) under uncultured bacterium. RNAcentral describes it as "partial 16S ribosomal RNA". It matches the Rfam family "Bacterial small subunit ribosomal RNA", at positions 338 to 795 of the family's 1533-position model. The record is from RNAcentral.
CCUACGGGAGGCUGCAGUGGGGAAUAUUGCGCAAUGGGCGAAAGCCUGACGCAGCGACGCCGCGUGAGGGAUGAAGGUCUUCGGAUCGUAAACCUCUGUCAGCAGGGAAGAACGGUCACUGUGCUAAUCAGCAGUGAAUUGACGGUACCUGCAAAGGAAGCACCGGCUAACUCCGUGCCAGCAGCCGCGGUAAUACGGAGGGUGCGAGCGUUAAUCGGAAUUACUGGGCGUAAAGCGCUCGUAGGCGGUAUGUCAAGUCAAGGGUGAAAUCCCCGCGCUCAACGUGGGAACUGCCUUUGAAACUGGCAAACUGGGGUGUGUGAGAGGAUAGUGGAAUUCCAGGUGUAGGAGUGAACUCCGUAGAUAUCUGGAGGAACAUCAGUGGCGAAGGCGACUAUCUGGCACAUAACUGACGCUGAGGAGCGAAAGCGUGGGUAGCAAACCGGAUUAGCUACCCUUGUGUC